This 238-nucleotide unclassified non-coding RNA is filed under the name Hevea brasiliensis (rubber tree). The record is from RNAcentral. Lineage: Eukaryota; Viridiplantae; Streptophyta; Magnoliopsida; Malpighiales; Euphorbiaceae.
GGGUCCCGGAGAUGCUUCCGGAUGGUAUUGAAGAGACAUAAUCUUUAGCUUCGGGAAGGCAAGGCCAGCACAACUUCCAUCAUUAAGAUUAAUGUGGGUUACUUCAACGCCCUCAGGAAGGGAUGCAGGGUCGACGGCGUAGUUGUGAUUCUGAGCACUAAUUUCUACACGGUCGUUCCGGAAGUUGCGGACGGGAUGAUUGCCUCCAUGAUGACCAAAUUUCAUUUUGAAGGUCUUA